Molecule: ribosomal RNA, 253 nt
Filed under: uncultured Terrimicrobium sp.
Lineage: Bacteria; Pseudomonadati; Verrucomicrobiota; Terrimicrobiia; Terrimicrobiales; Terrimicrobiaceae
Description: partial 16S ribosomal RNA
Rfam family: Bacterial small subunit ribosomal RNA
Source: RNAcentral
UACAGAGGUCUCAAGCGUUGUUCGGAUUUACUGGGCGUAAAGGGUGCGUAGGUGGCGAUGUAAGUUGAGUGUGAAAUCCUAGGGCUUAACCUUAGAACUGCACUCAAUACUGCGUUGCUAGAGGAUUGUAGAGGAGAAUGGAAUUCACGGUGUAGCAGUGAAAUGCGUAGAUAUCGUGAGGAAGACCAGUGGCGAAGGCGAUUCUCUGGGCAAUUCCUGACACUGAGGCACGAAGGCCAGGGGAGCAAACGGG